AUGAAUAACAAUAAUGGGGGUUUAUACAGGGUAUUAUGGUACAGAGUCAUUGUGGAGGCUAUAUACAGAGUAUUACGGUACAGAGUCAAUGUGGAGGCUACAUACAGGGUAUUACGGUACAGAGUCAAUGUGGAGGCUAUAUACAGAGUAUUACGGUACAGAGUCAAUGUGGAGGCUACAUACAGGGUAUUACGGUACAGAGUCAAUGUGGAGACUAUGUACAGGGGGUACCGGUACAGAGUCAAUGUGGAGGCUAUAUACAGGGGGUACGGGUACAGAGUCAAUGUGGAGGCUAUAAACAGGGGGUACCGGUACAGAGUCAAUGUGGAGGCUAUAUACAGGGGUACCGGUACAGAGUCAAUGUGGAGGCUAUAUACAGGGGUACCGGUACAGAGUCAAUGUGGAGGCUAUAUACAGGGGUACCGGUACAGAGUCAAUGUGGAGGCUAUAUACAGGGGGUACCGGUACAGAGUCAAUGUGGAGGCUAUAUACAGGGGGUACCGGUACAGAGUCAAUGUGGAGGCUAUAUACAGGGGGUACCGGUACAGAGUCAAUGUGGAGGCUAUAUACAGGGUUACCGGUACAGAGUCAAUGUGGAGGCUAUAUACAGGGGAUUCCGGAACAGAGUCAAUGUGGAGGCUAUAUACAGGAGGUGCCGGUACUGAGUCAAUGUGGAGACUAUAUUCAGGGGAUACCAGUACAGAGUCAAUGUGGAGGCUAUAUACAGGGGAUUCCGGAACAGAGUCAAUGUGGAGGCUAUAUACAGGGGAUUCCGGAACAGAGUCAAUGUGGAGGCUAUAUACAGGGGUACCGGUACAGAGUCAAUGUGGAGGCUAUAUACAGGGGGUACCGGUACAGAGUCAAUGUGGAGGCUAUAUACAGGGGGUACCGGUACAGAGUCAAUGUGGAGGCUAUAUACAGGGUUACCGGUACAGAGUCAAUGUGGAGGCUAUAUUCAGGGGAUACCAGUACAAAGUCAAUGUGGAGACUAUAUACAGGGGAUACCAGUACAGUGUCAAUGUGGAGGCUAUAUACAGGGGGUACCAGUACAGUGUCAAUGUGGCACCGGUGUUGAGGUAA
This 1080-nucleotide long non-coding RNA is filed under the name Oncorhynchus mykiss (rainbow trout). RNAcentral's name for it is "lncRNA (ENSOMYG00000076468.1)". Lineage: Eukaryota; Metazoa; Chordata; Actinopteri; Salmoniformes; Salmonidae. The record is from RNAcentral.